GCCUGGAACCUUCUGAGUGCAUGAGCUUCCACACCAGCUUUCCCCUCUGCCUUCUUCCCCUCUUCCCUCCUCUCCCCUCCUCAGCACCAGCUUCCCCUCUCCUCCUACCUCCCCUCCUGCUCCAACUGCCAUCCUUGUUGCUUAGCCCUUUCCCUAACAGACGCACCCUAUGUCCCUCCCCUCCCUUCCACCUCCUCUGCAUUUAAAUGAAGCUCUCUCCAGCACCUCCAGCUCUCUCUCCAGCACCUCCAGCUUAGGAGAUGGGGAAACUGAGGCAGACCCCAGUGCAGAUGUUUCUUUCCUGCUGGGAACAAUUAAAGACCCUCAGAGCUGAGAAGGAAGCAGAUAAAUGAUGGGGGCAUGCAUGCAGAUGUAUGUGGAUCCCCAGUCUGCCUCAUUACUUCACAGCAGAGACGCUUCUGGAGCCUGUUUUCCCAUUUGUGGGAUGGGGAUGGAACACGCUGUCAGUGCAUGCUCCAGGACGCCGGGAGAUGCCAGGAAGGGCCUGUGACAGGCAGAGCCACCAGGAUCUAUCCGAGCAGCAGGAGCAGACUGGGGGAGAGUGGCCAGGGGGGUCCUGGGAGGCAAAGGUGGGGAGAUGGGCAGUGAGGAGGGGGGAGGGGAGGAAGACAGGAGGACCCACCUCCCACAGGAGGCCCCCACCCAGCAGGAUUGAUCUUCCCAUAGAUCCUGCGGGAGCUGGAGCCAGGGCUGGCUGGGCGCUGGGCAGAGAGAGGAGGGCCAAGGCCAGCAGAGGGGAAGGGAGGCCCUGGUCGCCAAACCCUGGAGCUGGGUCCCUGGGCUGGAGGAGGGGUGGGUCUAGCUACCUGGCUGAGCAGCCCACUUUCCCUGUGCUCCUCAGAAUUUCCUGGACUCAGCUUGCCCACAGCAGAGGCAGGUGUAGGGCAGGGCCUGGGCUAAACAUCUUCCUUUAUUUGGAGACAGGGUCUCACCAGGUUGCCAAAUCACAUGGGCUGAGCUUGAACUUGAGAUCCUCCUGCCUCAGCCUUCCCCAGUGCUGGAAUAACAGGUCCCAUGUGAACACUACGACAGAUUCUAUGAGGGACUUGAGCACCCGGGGAGCUUUCUCCCUCAGAUACCAAGGACCAUGUGUGACCAUCCUGGCAGACAGGAAGUCGAUUCUCCUGCUGACAGUGUCCCUGGAGAGGACCCCAUGACCAGAAGAGUGGGCACCCUCCCCUUGCCGAGAGUGAUGCCCAAUCGAAGAGCUCACAGGAAAACCUGGACUUCCACCCAUCAACCACUAGGAUGCGCUCUCCACCACUUACUGUAAGAGCUGGGACAAGGACCCAGAGCUCCAGAGAGACACAAUUCCUGACCAAUGCCCUGGCUGUAGCCUGGUGAGACCUGAGCAGAGGACCCUGCCAAGGGGUGGCUAGAAAGUGUGAGAUAAUAAAUGUGUCUGUUCACCUGGG
RNAcentral lists this long non-coding RNA (1436 nucleotides) under Heterocephalus glaber (naked mole-rat). Its description in RNAcentral is "lncRNA (ENSHGLG00100039477.1)". The record is from RNAcentral. Lineage: Eukaryota; Metazoa; Chordata; Mammalia; Rodentia; Bathyergidae.